GCCCCUACUUACUCUAGGACUUGAGGAGUCUCUGGCCCUCUGAGGAAGCCAGACUACGAAGGAGACUAGUGCAAAGAUGAGGCAGGGGGAAGGCAGCCUGAGAGGAGCAGAACAACUUUGAUUUUUAGUUUUACGGGCUUUACUCUUCUCGCGCGCUCCCCUUCCCCAAAACAACUUUCCCUUCCGGGGUCAGGCUGGACCGCCCCGAGGCGUACCUUGCGCGCUGUGGGCGCCCGGAGCUACGGGAUGCGGCGUGGCGGUGAAGCGUCCCCACCGUGCAGGCUGCUGCUUUCCUGGCCACUUGUGUGCUCGCUGUUGACAGAAGCCCCAGAGUGUGAGUCCCGCAAGGCGGCCCGGCCCUAGCCGUGCCCUCUGGUUCGCGGGCACCGCCUGCAGGCUGUGUAACCUGGGAGCACAUCUUCAGUAAUCAUUGUUUAUAUAUAUAGUAAAAGGAAACCCCCCAUGCCACCAAAAGCAUAGGAAAGCAAGAGCCUAAGAGAAUCUCAUAGGUGGGGAUGUACCCCAGCAGGGGCUCAAACGUAAAAAUGAGCUGGCAAAGAAACCCACUUUGUGCCACCUUUAGUAAAAAGCUGUGGCUCCUGAGAGUCUGAGUCUGCCACUGUAGUAAGCAAGCCACUGUCUUUGCAAGUUUUUCAAAUGCAAAAGCAAGGAAGGGAAGGAAAAGAGAAAGGAAGCCUCCCUCAUUUUAAUCUUCUAUUGACUUCCAGAGAGUAUCACACUAGAUUAUUUUAAUAGACACCAAAUGUGUUUUAA
Molecule: long non-coding RNA, 774 nt
Organism: Phyllostomus discolor (pale spear-nosed bat)
Lineage: Eukaryota; Metazoa; Chordata; Mammalia; Chiroptera; Phyllostomidae
Exons: 2
Source: RefSeq, a predicted model, not a curated record